Molecule: ribosomal RNA, 406 nt
Filed under: uncultured bacterium
Lineage: Bacteria
Description: partial 16S ribosomal RNA
Rfam family: Bacterial small subunit ribosomal RNA
Source: RNAcentral
AUUGAACGCUAGCGGCAGGCCUAACACAUGCAAGUCGAACGAGUGGCGGACGGGUGAGUAAUGUCUGGGAAACUGCCUGAUGGAGGGGGAUAACUACGGGAAACGGUAGCUAAUACCGCAUACCAUCAGAUGUGCCCAGAUGGGCUUAGCUUGUUGGUUGGGUAACGGCUCACCAAGGCUACGAUCCAUAGCUGGUCUGAGAGGAUGACCAGCCACAAUGGAACUGAGACACGGUCCAGACUCCUACGGGAGGCAGCAGUGGGGAAUAUUGGACAAUGGGCGAAAGACUGAUGCAGCCAUGCCGCGUGUAUGAAGAAGGCCUUCGGGUUGUAAAGUACUUUUAGCGGGGAGGCGUUAUCUGCAGAAGAAGCACCGGCUAACUCCGUGCCAGCAGCCGCGGUAAUUC